GAAAUUGGGGAUCUGGGACGUUGAGAGCGUUGGAAGGUUUGUGUUUGAAGAAGAGUGUACCCGGAAGAUGAGUGGCGGGUGCAGUAACUACAGUACAGGGACCCUGCCUGACCGGCCUGGCUCGGCGUCAACAUGAUCAAGGCAUGCGGUGGCCGCCAGAUCAUGAUGGGACACAUUUUAGUGCUGCCAGCACCAUCAAGGACACCUACAUACAAAGUCCUAACCCGCCUUGAGUGGACUGAUUGAGCCGCUGAUUAGCUCGCCAGCCCCCGAGGCCAUGACUUUGGGAUGCCGGCCAGUUUUGACCUUUCAUCUUUCUUGGUAUGAAUCGGCACAUGACGCUGUAGCUGGAUAGCUGUGGGUGUCUCCAGGACCAGGAGACUGCAUCUGAAAGUAGCAGAACCCUGUUUGCAAGACAGUACAAUCCUGAUCAUUGUCAUAGGGAUUCUCACGUCUGUUAGGGAAAGUCCCUUUCAUGGAUAUGAGUUGCAUAGCUAGUACCAGUAGAACGUGUAGUAGUAGUAGUGCCCCCGACUGUAUCUUGUUACGGUACGUCUUCCCAUGGUUACUUCGGUGGACGUGCCGUCACAAGAUGCAGUACAAUGCUAUUGUAGCGCCAGGCUGCUGGACUGCAGCACAUGAGUGGAUGAUAACUGGCCAGGAACACCCGGAGCUGCCGAUGAUGAACUUGCACAAGUGCCCGAGCCAUGCAGUACUGCCCGUCCACCAAAGUGAGUAUACUGUAUACUAAACUGAAGUGCUAUCAUGUCCUGUGGGUACUGAGUCAACUGUCUGUUCAAUUAUGCUACGUAUCCACAGCAGGUGACUUCCGCAUUCAGCACCCCGAAGACAACAACUGGUGAAAAUUUGAUUUUCGGGUAUACUCCCCCUUUAAGGAAGGAAUUAGUUCCUGAUGGCCACCGGCAGGAUAUCAAACCAAUGACCUCACUGUAUAAGCCUCACCUCUGCGUGCUUUGUACAUGUACUUCGUCCUCCUUUUCUGUGAGCGAGUUUUCAACACCUCA
This is a long non-coding RNA of Sycon ciliatum, 1025 nucleotides long. RefSeq lists it as uncharacterized. NCBI's taxonomy places the organism in Eukaryota, Metazoa, Porifera, Calcarea, Leucosolenida, Sycettidae. The transcript has 2 exons. The record is from RefSeq and is a predicted model, not a curated record.